This 74-nucleotide transfer RNA is filed under the name Methanofastidiosum sp. RNAcentral's name for it is "tRNA-Lys". It matches the Rfam family "tRNA". From Rfam's summary of the family: Transfer RNA (tRNA) molecules are approximately 80 nucleotides in length. Their secondary structure includes four short double-helical elements and three loops (D, anti-codon, and T loops). The record is from RNAcentral. Lineage: Archaea; Methanobacteriati; Methanobacteriota; Candidatus Methanofastidiosia; Candidatus Methanofastidiosales; Candidatus Methanofastidiosaceae.
GGACGCAUAGCUCAGUCUGGCAGAGCAACUGACUUUUAAUCAGUUAGUCCAAGGUUCAAGUCCUUGUGCGUUCA